Molecule: microRNA precursor, 74 nt
Filed under: Ictidomys tridecemlineatus (thirteen-lined ground squirrel)
Lineage: Eukaryota; Metazoa; Chordata; Mammalia; Rodentia; Sciuridae
Description: Spermophilus tridecemlineatus (thirteen-lined ground squirrel) mir-3473 microRNA precursor family
Rfam family: mir-3473 microRNA precursor family
Source: Rfam by way of RNAcentral
GCCACUGAGCCACAACCCCAGCCCAAAAUAAAUUUUUAAUUUAAAAAAUAGGGCUGGGGUUGUGGCUCAGUGGU